UGGGGAAUAUUGCACAAUGGGCGCAAGCCUGAUGCAGCGACGCCGCGUGGGGGAUGACGGCCUUCGGGUUGUAAACUCCUAUCGCUAGGGACGAAGCUUUUUGUGACGGUACCUAGAUAAGAAGCACCGGCUAACUACGUGCCAGCAGCCGCGGUAAUACGUAGGGUGCGAGCGUUGUCCGGAAUUACUGGGCGUAAAGGGCUCGUAGGUGGUUUGUCGCGUCGUCUGUGAAAUUCCGGGGCUUAACUCCGGGCGUGCAGGCGAUACGGGCAUAACUUGAGUACUGUAGGGGUAACUGGAAUUCCUGGUGUAGCGGUGAAAUGCGCAGAUAUCAGGAGGAACACCGAUGGCGAAGGCAGGUUACUGGGCAGUUACUGACGCUGAGGAGCGAAAGCAUGGGUAGCGAACAGG
This 411-nucleotide ribosomal RNA is filed under the name Actinomycetes bacterium. RNAcentral describes it as "Actinobacteria bacterium partial 16S ribosomal RNA". It matches the Rfam family "Bacterial small subunit ribosomal RNA", at positions 355 to 776 of the family's 1533-position model. The record is from RNAcentral. Lineage: Bacteria; Bacillati; Actinomycetota; Actinomycetes.